UAUAAAUUGUGAAAAAUUGUG
This is a non-coding RNA of Caenorhabditis elegans, 21 nucleotides long. Lineage: Eukaryota; Metazoa; Nematoda; Chromadorea; Rhabditida; Rhabditidae. The record is from Ensembl.